Pelobates cultripes (western spadefoot toad) is the source of this 241-nucleotide non-coding RNA. NCBI's taxonomy places the organism in Eukaryota, Metazoa, Chordata, Amphibia, Anura, Pelobatidae. The record is from the annotation of a GenBank genome assembly.
CACGCCUAUGCCUGGAUGUGUUACACCAUCACCACUGACAAACAUAAUAGUUUCUGUGUUGCUUGAACUAGGCAUUUGUGAUAAAAAAAAAUGUACAACAGUAUAACUAGAGUACAGUUGGUCCUCGUUUUUAUGUACUUACGACCAGCUCUCUCAUGGGGUGGUAAGUGCGAGCCAUUGUAGGAAUUAAAGGGAUUCCCUGUUCUUUUCCCCCGAACAUAGACAUGCGCACCAGAGCAGG